GCAGGUACAGAGGGAUGCUACCGGGCGACCGGAUGCGGAUCUCGAAAGCCUGUCCCAGUUCGGACUGGAGUCUGCAACCCGACUCCACGAAGUUGGAUUCGCUAGUAAUCGCGCAUCAGCCAUGGCGCGGUGAAUACGUUCCCGGGCCUUGUACACACCGCCCGUCAAGCCAUGGGAGCCGGGGGCGCCUGAAGUCCGGGACCGCGAGGACCGGCCUAGGGCGAAACUGGUAACUGGGGCUAAGUCGUAACAAGGUAUC
This 259-nucleotide ribosomal RNA is filed under the name uncultured bacterium. RNAcentral describes it as "partial 16S ribosomal RNA". It matches the Rfam family "Bacterial small subunit ribosomal RNA", at positions 1233 to 1500 of the family's 1533-position model. The record is from RNAcentral.